GGGGAUGUGGCUCAGUGGUAGAGUGCUUGCCUGGCAUUUGUGUGGUCCUGAGUUCAAUUCUCAGCGCUACCA
Molecule: transfer RNA, 72 nt
Filed under: Ictidomys tridecemlineatus (thirteen-lined ground squirrel)
Lineage: Eukaryota; Metazoa; Chordata; Mammalia; Rodentia; Sciuridae
Also listed under: 1 other name
Description: Spermophilus tridecemlineatus (thirteen-lined ground squirrel) tRNA
Rfam family: tRNA
About the family: Transfer RNA (tRNA) molecules are approximately 80 nucleotides in length. Their secondary structure includes four short double-helical elements and three loops (D, anti-codon, and T loops).
Source: Rfam by way of RNAcentral